RNAcentral lists this ribosomal RNA (119 nucleotides) under Microtus ochrogaster (prairie vole). The record is from RNAcentral. Lineage: Eukaryota; Metazoa; Chordata; Mammalia; Rodentia; Cricetidae.
UUAAAUAUCAAUACCACCCUGGAUGCACCCAAUCUCAUCUGAUCUCAGAAGCUAAGCAGGGUCAGGCCUGGUUAGUACUUGGAUGGGAGGCCUCCUGGGAAUACUGGGUGCUAUAGGCU